AGCCAGCCCCGCGUGCUGGUUCAGCAUUACACCUGCACAGUACUGCUGAAGGCACUUAAUUUCCCAGCUUUGGCUUGAACACAGUGAUGGUUGGCACAGUACGACACCACCCGAGAAAACAGCAAAAAGAAGAGGUGAAAUAUUCAUAGAAGGGAAUAUAUUAUUUAUCUCGUGGAGAAACCAAGCAGCACUGACAGCCUGGAGGAAAGAAAGAAGGCUGAGGUUCGUUAGCUCCCAGCUUUCCUUUGUGUGAGACACUCGGGGACAUGUGCAGCAGAUCCGGAUGGAGGCAGCACCAACGCGAGACAGAGGCAGAGCUGAGCUGUGUGUGCCCAGGGCUCCUGCACAGAGCUUGUCACCAGAAACAGGAUUUCAAAGCCUGUGAAAGCCAUCAUUCCCACACUGCAACACAGGCAAGGCCACUGCUGGCAUUGGAGCUGUGGUAGGAUGAGGGCAGCCGCCACAUUUAGGAAUUGCUUCCUGCUGCCUGACAUAAGCAACCAGUGGGAAGCGCCUGACAAGCCAUCAUUUCUUCUCUCCAUGAAAGACAGCCCUGUUCUGAGCCAUUCACGUCUGGUUUGUCGCUAGAACAAGAAUGUGCUCUUCAAAAUUCUGAGUUCAGCAUUUUGGAAAACUGCCUCUAUGGACACAAGAGUUGGAAGAAAAAAAGUUAUUGCACAAAGACAGUGUCUUCCUCUAUUUCUACAGCAUUAAGGGAGAGUUGCGGGGACUCAAACAGCUGAUUGCCCAAUGCUGCUUUCUCUACAACAUUCAGGUCUCUGCCAGAUUUCCAGCACAUAGACAUGACCAAGCUGUGUUUCUGCAUCAAAUGUCAGCUU
This 839-nucleotide long non-coding RNA is filed under the name Gallus gallus (chicken). Its description in RNAcentral is "lncRNA (ENSGALG00010026699.1)". The record is from RNAcentral. Lineage: Eukaryota; Metazoa; Chordata; Aves; Galliformes; Phasianidae.